This 1294-nucleotide long non-coding RNA is filed under the name Vulpes vulpes (red fox). RNAcentral describes it as "lncRNA (ENSVVUG00000005790.1)". Lineage: Eukaryota; Metazoa; Chordata; Mammalia; Carnivora; Canidae. The record is from RNAcentral.
CAGUUCCCACCUGGAAGGUCAACAGGGGCACUGAAGACUCUAAUUUCCCCAUUAUGCUUUCAAAGUCCUUGUUGGGCUCUGUGGAGACACUUCCCAGGAAUCCCCUGGCUCCUAAAAUCUCUCUCCUUCAUCAGCCUGUCUCAUUAUAGAAAUUGCAUUAUUGCUUUGUCAUUGCCACAUGUUAACAUUAAAAAAUAUUCUAAGAAAGGUCAGACAUUUUAUGUUCAUCACUCACCUCUUACAGUUAAGUUUUAUAUUUCAAAAAAUGUUAACGUGUACUCGUUUUUGAUAAACACACAUUUUAUGCAUGACUAUUUAUUAUCACAAGUAUCACGACUGAAACCAGCCAAAAUAAUUUUAAUAUUGAAUAUGCUUUUUAACAGAAAUACACUCCCCAGAAAUUCUGAUUCUUCCAUCCUAUCCUAUCCCUUACAGGUAACAUUUCGUUGUUCAGCUGGAGAUUAGAGCAGGGUGAAAGGAGCUUUGAAACCAAACAGUCCAGGACCUCUUGCCAAGCUGCAUAGAUAGCCCUAGGCGCAUCCCUACUUUCUCUGGGCCUGCUUUCUCAUCUGGGAAAAUCGAGAUAAAAAUAACUACCCUGAACAUCUGCUGUGAAACGUGAACCAUCACCAGAAGAUGCAUCAAGAACAGCACUGCACACACUGGGUGUUUCGUAUCAUUUACUACAAUUUGUAGGAGGGACUACACAAGCUUCACCCGCAGGCUAUCGCAUACCAGGAGAAACAAAAAAAGCUGAAGGAUUAAGGACCCCAAAGGAUAUGCCUUUAGCAAGCCUGCCUCAAGGACCCAUGCAACCCCAGGAGCCUCUGUUGACUCUGCCCACUGAGAGACUGGUUCCCCUGUUCCCAGGAUUACCCAGAUCUGAUGUGGGGAGGAGGUGCCUUAGUGUCUGCUCAACAGAGGAAGUGCCUGUCUGCUUGCUCGGGCCCAGGGCUUUUCGCUCCUACGGCGGCUGCACCGGGGCCUCCUUCUACCCACCUAGCCCACCCACCCACAGUUCCAUCCUCCAGAUCAUUUAUCUUGGAAUAACACAACUACACGGAAUUGCUCAUCCACCCACCCUCCUCUACUGUCCAUUACAUGUGGCUCCUGAGCACCUGACCUGUGGCUAGUCCAAACCAGGAUGGAUGUGUAAACUACACCUAUCAGUACACCAAAGAUUUAGUUCAGAAAAAAAAAGUAAAGUAUCUCAUUGACAAUUUUUGCAUUGAUUACCUAUUGAAAGAAUAAUACUUUGGAUUAGGUUAAAUAAAACAGAUUAAAAUUAAUUUCA